This is a long non-coding RNA of Aethalodelphis obliquidens (Pacific white-sided dolphin), 1465 nucleotides long. RefSeq lists it as uncharacterized. The transcript has 3 exons. Lineage: Eukaryota; Metazoa; Chordata; Mammalia; Artiodactyla; Delphinidae. The record is from RefSeq and is a predicted model, not a curated record.
GGCCAGGACAGUUUCUUUGAUACUUGAAAGUGGCUGCUCUUUAGGCUGUGAAGGAGAUAAUCUCUACCUCAACUGUUGAGAUUAUAGAAGGAUCUAUCCAUUUUCAUUAUGAAUUCUUGUCCUAUCAUUUCUGAGACUGUCUUCAAAGAUGCCAUGACUAGAAACUUGAAGAGCACCUGGAAACACUGUUUAUGUUUGAUAGAAGGUAUUAUGUCUCUCUCUCUGAAGCUUCCACCACAAAAUUCAUUUAUGCUGAGACUGGGAUGAGUACUGAUCCAAGCGUGUUAGCAGACAAUAAAUAGUAAGAGGAUCAGGACAGCUCCAUACCAUUUGUAAUUCACUGCUUCCAUCAUCUUCCUAAAUUGUUUCUACUCCUAAACCCAUAUUUUUUUUUUUUUACAUCUCACAAGAUAAGAUGCGUGACAGGACCUGAAUGAGCAGUACAUAUGUAUAACAUCAAUGUUAACACAUUUAUAGGUUUCCAGUGAAUAGUAGUAAUUUUUCACAAGGACUCAGUACGUUUUAGACAUAAAUGAAUUACCUCCUAAAAUUUAAUCUAUUUCCCAGAUAUUUUUAUUAUGUUUGUGAUCAAGUAUGAAUGCAUUCGGGUAGCACUUUUUAAGACAAUCAGAUGUUCUACAAUGAGUAUGUGUUUCUUUUACAACUAGAGAUAGUUUUAAAAAUCAUUUUUAAAAUACCAUGAAAUUAUGGUAUUGGUAUCAAAUGGUAUCAAGUACCAAAUACUGGAUUAUUACCUUUGUCUUUUCAUGUCUCCCUUCAUUUGUUGUGAAAGCAGGUUGAUGGGUUUAAGAACAUCAUUAUGUUGAAUACUCUGCCUGAUGGUUUCUACUAAAGCGCUUGUUGCUUGUUGUUCCUCUGACAGGAGAGACAAUUUCUUUUCAGAAUCUAAUAAUAAGAACACAGUAAAAGAAUACAUUUAGUCACUCUAAUUAUUAAAGAAGUUUUUUUUCAGAUUUGUAUCAUUUUUUAUUCAACACCACCUCCCCAUCACAAGUAAAAUUACGUAGUAAUGUGACCAGCUAAAAAAUAUUUUUCUUGCUUUCUUCAGAUAGGAGAGGCCUGUCCCUUUGCCCUUUUCCUGAACUUAGGGCUUCCUGAUUGAGGCUGCAAUGUGAUAUCUUGUAUGCCAGCAGCCAUCCUGUGACCAUGAAUCUUUCCUGAUGGAAAAGCAGACAAAGCGUAAGGAGCCUGGGUCCCCGAUGACAAAGGAGUUGCCUAACAGUCCUGGAGUAUCUAAUUCAUAAAUUCUUCAUGGACUGAAUGACAACUUGGUAACUGGCACAGCAGCCACAAGAAAGAUUAACCUCCAUCAAAACAAAUUUUAAGGUAAGAAAGUGCAAUGGUUUCUCCUAUCUUGUUGUACUGACUACUACUUAAAAUAAAUGAGUCAAAAUAGAAUUUAUACUACUCUAAAAGUUUGUUGUGCCCCUGAUGUAUGUUUGGG